Molecule: ribosomal RNA, 1119 nt
Filed under: Triticum aestivum (bread wheat)
Lineage: Eukaryota; Viridiplantae; Streptophyta; Magnoliopsida; Poales; Poaceae
Description: partial small subunit ribosomal RNA
Source: RNAcentral
AUGUCACCUGGAGCGUCAUGUUCCGGCGUUCCGGUACCACCCCGCCCGGCCGGAACCCACACAUUCCUCCUGCCGGCGGCUCCCCCGUUCGUCUCAAAGUUCACCAUCAAUCGAAGAGAUCCUCGGACGGCCUCUUCUUGUUUUGGUAAAGCAAUAACGCCAAAGCGCUGCUUUGUCGUGGCCGGCGGACUUACUUGGGUUGAUGGGGUUGAAGAAGAGCUCAUGGAGCUACAAAAGACACAAGAGCAAAGUUCAGGCAAGUUAAAGAAGAGGCCGCCUUUGAGGCGUGGAAAGGUCUAUCCCCAACUUCCUGUACCAGAACACAUUCCAAGACCUUCUUAUGUGGGUGCAAACAUACCACAAGAACUACCCGCAGUUCGCCAAAUACACAAUGCCGAAGGUAUCGCUGGGAUGAGAGCUGCUUGCAAACUUGCUGCCCGUGUACUGGACUUCGCGGGAACAUUGGUUAAGCCAUCAGUUACUACAAAUGAAAUCGACAGGGCGGUGCAUCAUAUGAUAGUUGAGGCGGGUGCUUAUCCUUCUCCACUUGGCUAUGGUGGAUUUCCUAAAAGUAUCUGCACCUCAGUAAAUGAGUGUGUCUGCCAUGGACUACCUGAUUCAACACAGCUGCAGAAUGGAGACAUCAUAAAUAUUGAUGUAAAUGUGUUCCUAAAUGGGUACCAUGGCGGAACUUCCAGAACAUUUGUAUGCGGAGAAGCGGAUGAAUCUAUCAAGCAUUUCCUAAAGGCAGCUGAAGAAUGCUCGGAGAAGGGUAUUUCUGUCUGCAGGGACGGUGUAAACUACAGAAAAAUUGGCAAGAAGAUAAGUAAGCUUGCUUAUUUCUACGGCUAUCAUGUGGUGGAGCGCUUUGUUGGACAUGGAAUUGGAACUAUGUUGCAUUCUGAGCCACUUAUCCUCCAUCAUGCAAAUGAAAACUCUGGUCGAAUGGUUGAAGGUCAAACAUUCACAAUUGAACCUAUACUUACAAUGGACAAAGCAGAGUGUGUUACAUGGGAAAAUGGAUGGACUACUGUCACAGCCGAUGGCAGUUGGGCAGCACAGUUUGAGCACACUGUAUUGGUCACUAGGACGGGCGUAGAGAUAUUGACAAAACUUUGA